This 492-nucleotide ribosomal RNA is filed under the name uncultured bacterium. RNAcentral describes it as "partial 16S ribosomal RNA". It matches the Rfam family "Bacterial small subunit ribosomal RNA", at positions 29 to 507 of the family's 1533-position model. The record is from RNAcentral.
AGUGAACGCUGGCGGUAGGCCUAACACAUGCAAGUCGAACGGCAGCACAGUAAGAGCUUGCUCUUACGGGUGGCGAGUGGCGGACGGGCGAGGAAUACAUCGGAAUCUACUUUUUCGUGGGGGAUAACGUAGGGAAACUUACGCUAAUACCGCAUACGACCUACGGGUGAAAGCAGGGGAUCUUCGGACCUUGCGCGAUUGAAUGAGCCGAUGUCGGAUUAGCUAGUUGGCGGGGUAAAGGCCCACCAAGGCGACGAUCCGUAGCUGGUCUGAGAGGAUGAUCAGCCACACUGGAACUGAGACACGGCCCAGACUCCUACAGGAGGCAGCAGUGGGGAAUAUUGGACAAUGGGCGCAAGCCUGAUCCAGCCAUACCGCGUGGGUGAAGAAGGCCUUCGGGUUGUAAAGCCCUUUUGUUGGGAAAGAAAAGCAGCAGGUUAAUACCCCGCUGUUCUGACGGUACCCAAAGAAUAAGCACCGGCUAACUUCGUG